AUGGCGACGGAGACGGGCCUCUGCGACCUCCCGGCGGACUGCCUGGCCCUCGUCGCCUCCCUGACCUCCCCCGGCGACGCGUGCAGGCUGGCGGCCACCGCCACCGCGCUCCGGGCGGCCGCCGGCUCCGACGAGGUCUGGGGGAGCUUCCUCCCGGCGGACUGGGCCGACAUCCUCGCGCGGUGUGGCACCGCCGGCCGCCGCGAGGGUGAAACGAAGAAGGAGCUCUUCUCCCGCCUCUGCGACUCCCCCGUCCUUCUCGACGGCGGCAAGCUGAGCUUCUCGCUGGACAGGCGUAGCGGCGGCAAGAAGUACAUGAUACCGGCGAAAGCUCUGUGUUAUGGAUGGAGUGGGUACCCCUACGGAGGCCUCGCCUGGUCGCACUGCCACCCUCACUCCAGAUUCCGUGAGGUGGCUGUUCUAUCGCACUUGUGCUGGCUGGACGUGUAUGGCAUUUUGAACACCAAAAACCUCCCGGGCGUCGGUAGAGGCUAUGCCGCCUAUCUCGUAUACAGGGUGCACUGGUUGCCAGCUCCAAACACCGGUCAGAAGCAAAGCCAAGAAGCUACAGCGUCCUCUGCCGCUGCCAUCUGCAACCAUGAGUGCAACCAUCUGGUGCCUCAUAACUACUCGCGAUCUCCGUUAUGGGACUGGGACUGGGAACUUGAUGGAUCGUCAUCGUUGUCCGCAUUAGUAGCCAUGACCGAGAAGAAUCAAAGUCGGAAGCGACGGCUGAAACCUGAUGGCGUGAGCGUGAGGAGUGACGGACGGUGGGUAGAGCAAGAGAUCAGAAUACAGUUGGACGAGCAGUGUCUGGAAGGAAACGAGAGUAAUGUGUCCAUUGAGUUCAGAGGGUUGACAGGGUCGCAUGGGUGCCAGAUUAUCAUAGAGGGGAUCGAGGUUAGGCCGACAGCAAUGGAGAGUUGA
Molecule: ribosomal RNA, 927 nt
Filed under: Triticum aestivum (bread wheat)
Lineage: Eukaryota; Viridiplantae; Streptophyta; Magnoliopsida; Poales; Poaceae
Description: partial small subunit ribosomal RNA
Source: RNAcentral